This 74-nucleotide transfer RNA is filed under the name Coleochaete orbicularis. Its description in RNAcentral is "tRNA-Phe". It matches the Rfam family "tRNA". From Rfam's summary of the family: Transfer RNA (tRNA) molecules are approximately 80 nucleotides in length. Their secondary structure includes four short double-helical elements and three loops (D, anti-codon, and T loops). Further hydrogen bonds mediate the characteristic L-shaped molecular structure. tRNAs have two regions of fundamental functional importance: the anti-codon, which is responsible for specific mRNA codon recognition, and the 3' end, to which the tRNAs corresponding amino acid is attached (by aminoacyl-tRNA synthetases). tRNAs cope with the degeneracy of the genetic code in two manners: having more than one tRNA (with a specific anti-codon) for a particular amino acid; and 'wobble' base-pairing, i.e. permitting non-standard base-pairing at the 3rd anti-codon position. The record is from RNAcentral. RNAcentral also lists the same sequence under 1 other name. Lineage: Eukaryota; Viridiplantae; Streptophyta; Coleochaetophyceae; Coleochaetales; Coleochaetaceae.
GUUUAGGUAGCUCAGUUGGUUAGAGCAAAGGACUGAAAAUCCUUGGGCCAGUGGUUCAAAUCCACUCCUAGACA